This is a long non-coding RNA of Alligator mississippiensis (American alligator), 524 nucleotides long. RefSeq lists it as uncharacterized. The transcript is spliced from 3 exons. Lineage: Eukaryota; Metazoa; Chordata; Crocodylia; Alligatoridae. The record is from RefSeq and is a predicted model, not a curated record.
GCUGCCCAUAUAAACAGGGCACUUUGCUGCUGGAAGGCCAGGCAAUAACAUCACCUGGCUGCAGGGCUGCUGGUAUCAUCUGGAGGUCCGCCACUGUUUUUGUUCCACUCUCCAUGGCUGGACUUCCACAUCACCUCUCCAGGAAUCCUUGCCCCUGUUGGCUAUGGUUCGGGAUGCCGUAGCACCACCAGCAAGUCCUGCACAUGGUGAACCCACCACCGCCGCCAUGCUCCUGUGGCCUGGCAUGCCACAGUGUUGCCAGCAGGGCCUGCAGUGCAGCAGUCCCACUGUUGCUUCCCUGUUUCCGUGGCUCAGUGUGCCACAGGGCCACCGGUGAGAUCUGUGUCAUGGGGAUCCCGGUGUUGCCUCCAGGUCCCCAUUGCUCGGCAACUCUCCUGCACCUGUCACAUAUAUUUUGACAUGUGCUUCUAUAAAACUUUUAGUGGUAUACGGUCAUUACUAAAUUCUCUGCCCCCACACUCCUAAUUUCAUGAAAUCCUGAAAAUUUAAACUGAUAAAGAUUA